GUUAGGAAUAUUGGACAAUGGGCGCAAGCCUGAUCCAGCCAUGCCGCGUGAACGAUGAAGGCCUUCGGGUUGUAAAGUUCUUUAGCCGAUGAUUAUAAUGACUGUAGUCGGAAAAUAAGCCCCGGCUAACUUCGUGCCAGCAGCCGCGGUAAUACGAAGGGGGCGAGCGUUAUUCGGAAUCACUGGGCGUAAAGCGUGCGUAGGCGGUUGUGUAAGUUAGGAGUGAAAGCCCAGGGCUCAACCUUGGAAUUGCUCUUAAAACUGCAAGGCUCGAAUCUCGGGGAGGAAAGCGGAAUUUCCAGUGUAGCAGUGAAAUGCGUAGAUAUUGGAAGGAACACCAGUGGCGUAAGCGGCUAUCUGGACGAGUAUAGACACUGAGGCACGAAAGCGUGGGGAUCAAACAGGAUUAGAAACCCGGGUAGUCC
This 425-nucleotide ribosomal RNA is filed under the name uncultured bacterium. RNAcentral describes it as "partial 16S ribosomal RNA". It matches the Rfam family "Bacterial small subunit ribosomal RNA", at positions 354 to 796 of the family's 1533-position model. The record is from RNAcentral.